RNAcentral lists this ribosomal RNA (634 nucleotides) under uncultured bacterium. RNAcentral describes it as "bacterial SSU rRNA". It matches the Rfam family "Bacterial small subunit ribosomal RNA", at positions 97 to 728 of the family's 1533-position model. The record is from RNAcentral.
GGCGGACGGGUGAGUAAUGCUUACGAAUCUGCCUAUUAGUGGCGGACAACAUCUCGAAAGGGAUGCUAAUACCGCAUACGUCCUACGGGAGAAAGCAGGGGAUCUUCGGACCUUGCGCUAAUAGAUGACCCUAAGUCGGAUUAGCUAGUAGGUGGGGUAAAGGACCUACCAAGGCGACGUCUGUAGCGGGUCUGAGAGGAUGAUCCGCCACUCUGGGACUGAGACACGGCCCAGAUCCUAUGGGAGGCAGCAGUGGGGAAUAUUGGACAAUGGGGGGAACCCUGAUCCAGCCAUGCCGCGUGUGUGAAGAAGGCCUUAUGGUUGUAAAGCACUUUAAAGACGGAGGAGGCUACUUUAGUUAAUACCUAGAGAUAGUGGACGUUACUCGCAGAAUAAGCACCGGCUAACUCUGUGCCAGCAGCCGCGGUAAUACAGAGGGUGCGAGCGUUAAUCGGUAUACUGGGCGUAAAGCGUGCGUAGGCGGCUUAUUACGUCGCAUGUGAAAUCCCCGAGCUUAACUUGGGAAUUGCAUUCCAUACUGGUGAGCUAGAGUAUGGGAGAGGAAGGUAGAAUUCCAGGUGUAGCGGAGAAAUGCGUAGAGAUCUGGAGGAAUACCGAUGGCGAAGGCAGCCAU